AAGGGCACCACAAGAACGCGUGGAGCAUGUGGCUUAAUUUGACUCAACGCGGGAAAUCUUACCAGGUCCGGACAUAUUGAGGAUUGACAGGCGAUAGUAAUAUUAUUAUAUAAUAUUGCAUAAAAAUGAUAGUCCUUUCAUGAUUAUAUGAUAGGUGGUGCAUGGCCGUUCUUAGUUCGUGGAGUGAUUUGUCUGCUUAAUUGCGUUUCAGAUAUAUAAUUAUAUAAUAUAUUAUAUAGUAAUAUAUAAUUUAAUAUUGUGCUGCCUUAUAUAUUAUUUAUAAGGAUUUUAAGUGAACAUAUUUUAUUAUACAUAUAUUAUUAUAUAUAUUUAUUAUAUAUUAAAAUGAAUGCAACGAACGUGACCGUAACCUUUUAUUGCUAUAAAUAAUAUAUAUUAUUUAUAUUAUAAUAUAGCAUAAAAUUAAAGGGACCGCUGUCUAAAUUUUAGUGUUAAAUAGAGUAAGAUUACGGCAAUAACAGGUCUGUGAUGCCCUCAGAUGUUCUGGGCUGCACACGUGCUACAAUAAUUACAUUAAUAAGUAUCUAUUAUAAUACAUAAUAUGUUUACAUAUUAUAAUAAACCUAUUUCGAAAGUAAAUGGGUAAUCAUUUAAAAAUCGUGAUUAUUCAUACAUAUAUGGUAUAUUAAUAUUGUAUAAUACUAUACAUUUUAUAGUACUAUUACAAAUACCAUUAAUUAAUUUAAGGUGGGGAUAGUGUAUUGUUAAUUAUUACACUUGGCCUUAACUAGGAAUGCCUUGUACUCUUCUUUGGUUUAACAUACCAAGAGGAAUACGUCCCUGCCCUUUGUACACACCGCCCGUCGCUCUUACCGAUGAAUUAUAUUAUAAAUCUAAGGGACAUACAUAUCCUGAAAUUGAAUAUAUUGAAACUUAUAUACAUAAUGUGAUUUAAAGGAAAGAGAAGUCGUAACAAGGCAUCG
Molecule: ribosomal RNA, 944 nt
Filed under: Peneroplis pertusus
Lineage: Eukaryota; Foraminifera; Miliolida; Peneroplidae
Description: SSU rRNA
Rfam family: Eukaryotic small subunit ribosomal RNA
Source: RNAcentral